AAAUAAUGCUUCAUUCCUUUGAUCAAUCAGAUGAUGAAAAAAUUGUACAAAAAUAACGGUCUAAACUAAAUGCGUCUAUGAAACAAUAUUUGGUUAUUUUUAUACUCGGUGCUAGUUUUAGUUGAAACUAUGAGUUUUUGACAGAUUUGAUCGUCUUGCUUCCCCAGUUCUGGAACCGAAGGAUCCUCCUCGACCAAGAGAAGGACUUUCCCCUUUUAUUUCACUAACACGAGGACUGUAUACCUUGUUAGAAAGCCUUGGGCUUUGGAUGCUAACAGAAUCUCUGGUUGGUGUCGCAUUGCAGCUUGUUACCUUUGAACUGCACAUACGUCGAAUCUCACCUCGACUUCUUGUCAUCAUGCCAUCCAUAAUCUCCCCAUCAUCUCCUCCAAAUGAACCUUCAUUUUCUCUAGCCAUGCUGCAUGAUGAUAACGGUGGUGCUUCUUCAUACUCAGCAGCAUCUAAUUCCUGAAGAUGUGCUCCUUUGAAGAACCUAGGUAGUAGGUACUGUCUGACUGGAACUAAAAGCAUGAUCAUAAGUGGGAAGAGAACGCCAGCAAUGGGAACCCAUGUUAUCCCAAAACAGAUCAGUAAGUAGAUGCUCUGGAAAAUGGUGAAGAACGCUAUUGUCUUGUAAGGUACAGUUUCAAUGAACACAGCAUGACACUCUUCAAUUACUUUGUAUCUUCGGCUAGGAGCUGUGAAUAGUAAUAGGAUCCGUUCCCAGAACUGAUUUCCUGGUAAGCUUUCAAUGGCCAUAAAGCCAAAGUAUCCCCAAAGGACUGAUGUCGGAAUCAUUUUGAGAAGAGGCAUGGCGGCCACACAUCCUCCCACCAUGGCGGACUGAAGCAAGUUGCUCAACCUCUGCUCCUUCACUUCAACGGGCAACAAGUCAUCUAUGUCCUUCUCAACAUCAAAGAUUGUCUCAUCAACAGGUUCAUCCCUGUUGCCUAUUCUUGAAGCCAAUUCAAUGGUAGACUCUUUUAACUCUUUUAACCCCCGAGAUGAUGGUUCUUGGUGAAUCAGUGGACUCUGCAUCUGUUGAUAGGCUUCUUGCAUACUUUCAUACACUUCAGCCAAAUUCCCAUUCUCAGUCAUACAUUUCCGUGCUUUUGCAACUAAUCGAUUACGAAGCAACUGAUGCUUCAGUGUGGCCAAACUCUUUGUAUGCAUUGGA
RNAcentral lists this unclassified non-coding RNA (1177 nucleotides) under Hevea brasiliensis (rubber tree). Lineage: Eukaryota; Viridiplantae; Streptophyta; Magnoliopsida; Malpighiales; Euphorbiaceae. The record is from RNAcentral.